CGUGCACCGGUGGGGUCCCUUGGCCUGGCCUGUGCCCUCUCGCAAUCCGGGACUCCUCGGGGGAUGUUGGAGAGCCGGUUUUGGCCCGAUUCUGCAGGCCAGGCCAAGGGACCCCACUGGUGCACG
Molecule: microRNA precursor, 126 nt
Filed under: Myotis brandtii (Brandt's bat)
Lineage: Eukaryota; Metazoa; Chordata; Mammalia; Chiroptera; Vespertilionidae
Description: mir-9193 microRNA precursor family
Rfam family: mir-9193 microRNA precursor family
Source: Rfam by way of RNAcentral